AGUCGUAACAAGGUUUCCGUAGGUGAACCUGCGGAAGGAUCAUUGUCGAAACCUGCCCAGCAGAACGACCCGCGAACUUGUGAUUACGCUCGAGCGGGUCCGACGUGGGGAGCUCUGGCUGCCCUCGUUGGUCCCCCUCCUGCUGUGGGGGGUGAGCGAGAUCUCUCGCUCGCUCCUUGCGGCAGUACAACGAACCCCCGGCGCGAGUUGCGCCAAGGAAAAUUUAACGAGAGAGAGCACUCCCGUCGCCCCGGACACGGAUCGACGUGCGGGAUGUGUCUCCUUCUUUCAAUGAAAAUCAAAAACGACUCUCGGCAACGGAUAUCUCGGCUCUCGCAUCGAUGAAAAAUGCGAUACUUGGUGUGAAUUGCAGAAUCCCGUGAACCAUCGAGUCUUUGAACGCAAGUUGCGCCCCAAGCCUUUAGGCCGAGGGCACGCCUGCCUGGGUGUCACGCAUCGUUGCCCCCCAAAAACCCUCUUCGGGAAUAACUGGACGGGCGGAAACUGGCCUCCCGUGCGCUCGUGCUCGCGGUUGGCCCAAAUCUGAGUCUUUCGGUGACCGUGCCGCGACGAUCGGUGGUGUAACAUGCCUCUCGAGCUCCUGUCGCGCGCUCGCGUCUCCGUGCCACGGGCUCGCGGACCCUUGUAAGCGYCGUCUCUUUGAGACGGUGCUCGCUUUGCGACCCCAGGUCAGACGGGACUACCCGCUGAGUUUAAGCA
This 720-nucleotide small RNA is filed under the name Trichilia adolfi. Its description in RNAcentral is "eukaryotic LSU rRNA". The stretch from base 307 to 452 matches the Rfam family "5.8S ribosomal RNA". The record is from RNAcentral. Lineage: Eukaryota; Viridiplantae; Streptophyta; Magnoliopsida; Sapindales; Meliaceae.